RNAcentral lists this ribosomal RNA (254 nucleotides) under uncultured bacterium. RNAcentral describes it as "partial 16S ribosomal RNA". It matches the Rfam family "Bacterial small subunit ribosomal RNA", at positions 524 to 776 of the family's 1533-position model. The record is from RNAcentral.
UACGGAGGGUGCAAGCGUUAUCCGGAUUCACUGGGUUUAAAGGGAGCGUAGGUGGCUUUGUAAGUCAGUGGUGAAAUCUUAGAGCUUAACUCUAAAAACUGCCAUUGAUACUGCUUAGCUUGAAUCACGUCGAGGUGGAUGGAAUAUUACAUGUAGCGGUGAAAUGCUUAGAUAUGUAAUAGAACACCGAUUGCGAAGGCAGUUCACUAGGCGUGUAUUGACACUGAGGCUCGAAAGCGUGGGGAUCAAACAGG